GCCUGGGUGGCUCAGUCGGUUAAGCGCCUGACUCUUGGUUUCGGCUCAGGUCACGAUCUCACAGUUCGUGGGUUCGAGCCCCGCACUGGGCU
This is a transfer RNA of Felis catus (domestic cat), 92 nucleotides long. It matches the Rfam family "tRNA". From Rfam's summary of the family: Transfer RNA (tRNA) molecules are approximately 80 nucleotides in length. Their secondary structure includes four short double-helical elements and three loops (D, anti-codon, and T loops). Lineage: Eukaryota; Metazoa; Chordata; Mammalia; Carnivora; Felidae. The record is from Rfam.